Molecule: ribosomal RNA, 465 nt
Filed under: uncultured bacterium
Lineage: Bacteria
Description: partial 16S ribosomal RNA
Rfam family: Bacterial small subunit ribosomal RNA
Source: RNAcentral
GACGAACGCUGGCGGCGUGCUUAACACAUGCAAGUCGUACGGUAAGGCCCUUUCGGGGGUACACGAGUGGCGAACGGGUGAGUAACACGUGAGUAACCUGCCCACAACUUUGGGAUAACGCUAGGAAACUGGUGCUAAUACUGGAUAUGUGCCCCUGCUGCAUGGUGGGGGUUGGAAAGCUCCGGCGGUUGUGGAUGGACUCGCGGCCUAUCAGCUUGUUGGUGGGGUAGUGGCCUACCAAGGCGGCGACGGGUAGCCGGCCUGAGAGGGUGACCGGCCACAUUGGGACUGAGAUACGGCCCAGACGCCUACGGGAGGCAGCAGUGGGGAAUAUUGCACAAUGGGCGCAAGCCUGAUGCAGCAACGCCGCGUGCGGGAGGACGGCCUUCGGGUUGUAAACCGCUUUCAGCAGGGACGAAGCUUUUUGUGACGGUACCUGCAGAAGAAGCACCGGCUAACUACGUG